GUCAGCAGCCAUAUCACCCUGCAGCCCAAGACCGGUCGCCCACUGAAGCUAAGCAGGGUUGAGCCUGGUCAGUACCUGGAUGGGAGACCUCUUGGGAAAACUAGGUUGCUGCUGGAA
Ribosomal RNA from Sinocyclocheilus anshuiensis, 117 nucleotides. NCBI's taxonomy places the organism in Eukaryota, Metazoa, Chordata, Actinopteri, Cypriniformes, Cyprinidae. The record is from Ensembl.